CAAUAGCGUAUAUUAAAGUUGUUGCAGUUAAAAAGCUCGUAGUUGGAUUUGUGGCGUACGGUGUGUUCCGGGCACUUGUUGUCUGAGUAACCUGCUGUUGCCAUCCUUGGGUGGAACCUGUGUGGCAUUAGGUUGUCGUGCAGGGGAUGCCCAUCAUUUACUGUGAAAAAAUUAGAGUGUUCAAAGCAGGCUUAUGCCGUUGAAUAUAUUAGCAUGGAAUAAUGAGAUAGGACUUUUUUGCUAUUUUGUUGGCUUGCGCAAGAAGGUAAUGAUUAAUAGGGACAGUUGGGGGUAUUCGUAUUCCAUUGUCAGAGGUGAAAUUCUUGGAUUUUUGGAAGACGAACUACUGCGAAAGCAUUUACCAAGGAUGUUUUCAUUAA
This 380-nucleotide ribosomal RNA is filed under the name uncultured eukaryote. RNAcentral describes it as "partial 18S ribosomal RNA". It matches the Rfam family "Eukaryotic small subunit ribosomal RNA", at positions 592 to 976 of the family's 1831-position model. The record is from RNAcentral.